AGAGAGAGGAGUGACUUUCUUUCAAAAAUACAGCAGCAACCGGUACAGCAGCAGCGGGUAUGGAGGGUGUGAAACAUGGAUCAAUACGGAAAUAAAUAACGGGACCGGACGAUAUUAUUUAAACCAAAAAAAGAGGAGGGCGCAAAACACGGCGAAAAGUGGAUAUUUCAAGAAAGAAGAAACUGGGUGAAGUCAGUACCACACGUUUCAGUGUUGAUGUUGGUAUUUGGCCACGAAUACCUGCCGAAAAUAGUCCCGACUCUCCUUUAUUGAGGCUCCUCUGUCCUGUGUGACCCCCUGACACAUAGAGGAUGGUGAUGGAGGAGGGGGGACAGAGAGACAGAGGGAGGGGGACUCCAGUGACAGCAGAAGCAGAGGGGAGACAGAUUCUCGUAGAGCUUGGGGAGCAGAACUUGGAUGCCAUUUGUCUCUCUACGUAUCGAACAGCCUGCAAGCUCCGAUUCAUACAGAAGAGAUGCAACUUGCAUCUGAUCGACAUAUACAAUGUGAUUGAGGCGGUGCGGGACGCUGGUCUGAACGCUGUAGAGCUGAACGCCGGCAUCUCUGUGACCAGACUGGAGAACUUGGUGUCCUCCCUGUUCAACCAGCUCAGCAAGCGCCUGCCCACCACACACACCAUCAACCCGCGAGAGAGCACCGUCCUGCUAGUUGAAUUCAUACUGGCCGCCAUUGAGGGUGAGCCUGACAGCCGUCUGACGGUGCUCUCUGUGAAGGCGAUGUUGGCCACACUGUGUGGAGGGAAACUGGUAGAUAAACUCCGCUAUAUUUUUUCUCAGGUAUCGGACUCCAGCGGUGUGUUGGUACAGUCCAAGUUUGAUGGUUUUCUGAGGGAGGCUCUCAAGCUGCCCACCGCUGCACAUGAAGGCCCGUCCUUUGGCUACACACCCACCUUAGCACGCUCAUGCUUCCCACAACAGAAGAGGGUGAUGCUCAACAUGUUCCUCGAUAUCGUAGCUGACCCUCCUCCGUGUCUUGUCUGGCUGCCUCUCAUGCACCGCAUGGCCAACGUGGAGCAUGUUUAUCAUCCCGUGUCGUGCUCCUACUGUCGUGGCAACAGCAUGACGGGCUUCCGCUAUCGCUGCCUCCGUUGCCGCGGGUACCAGCUCUGCCAGAACUGCUUCUGGCGUGGCAAUGCCAGUGGCUCUCAUAGCAACCAGCAUCAGAUGAAGGAGCACUCAUCCUGGAAGUCAUCCGCGACAAAGCUUGGCCGAGCCCUGAGCAGGACUCUGGGCUGUGUGUCCUCCAGAGAGCCCCCUCAUCCUAUUUACCCAGAGGAACCUGAGAGGACCCUCAACCUCUCCAACAUAGUCCCCUCUCGCCCCACUGGGAACACCAGUGAAGCCAUGUUGCUGUCCUCAUCAGUGCCCGAGUCCUCCAAAAGUUUGGCUGCCGCUCAGCGUAUGAACGAGGAACACGCUCUGAUCGCUGCGUAUGUGAAUCGCCUCCAGACCACCCCAAGUAGUGUGGACAGUCCCAGCAGAGAAGAUGAAGAGCACAAACUGAUCGCCCGCUACACCUCCCGACUGGCAGAGACUGACAGCACAGGAGUGAUACCUAACCGGAGCAUCAACUUUGAUGUGAACAAACAGAAGCGGGAGCUCAUUGCUCAGCUGGAAUGCAAAAACAGAGAGAUCUUGGCAGAGAUCAAACGUCUCCGUGUAGAGCAUGACGCAGCGUGCCAGGCCAGUCCGGGGAAAGGCAGCACCAACCCGACUCUGCUGGCCGAGCUCCGUCUGCUCAGACAAAGGAAAGAUGAGCUGGAGCAGAGGAUGUCAUCUCUGCAAGAAAGCAGGAGGGAACUGAUGGUACAGCUCGAGGGAUUGAUGAAGCUGCUCAAGGAUGAGGAACAGCGACAGGCAGCGCAGGCGGCUGGCUCUUCUCACGCCUCUCCUUCUCGACCGAGCCCAUCAACCGUCCGCUCCGUAGGUGCUGCAUCUCCCCAGGCUCACAUGUACGCUCCUCAAGAUUCACUCGCUGGGGUUGGUGGUGAUGUACAAGAAGCGUUUGCCCAAGGCCCAAGAAGGAACCUGAGGAAUGACCUUCUGGUAGCAGCCGACUCCAUCACCAACACUGUGUCCUCACUGGUCAAAGAGCUCCACUCUGAUGAUGUUCGGGAGGAAGAGGAGAGAUUGCUAAACGGGAAGAAUAGAGGUGCUCUCUCUUGUCUGCACUGCAGAGCAAGCUUCAUAAAUAUGCCAGCUCAUUAGCCGUGCUUUAUGGAGCCCCUCCUCUAUACAAGAGGACCGCCUGCAGAGACGAAGCUGUGAAACUACUUCCUGGUCUGCUCACUGAGCCCACACUAAACGCUUAUAAGAAUACUAACCUGCAGUACUAACCCACCGACCCCCCCGAACAGCCAGACAGACAGGAGGCCAGGGUUCAGCCCCACCGUUCAACACACAGGUUAAAAUGAUCGCAGGACAAACAAAAACGGCAGAGUGAUGUUUCAUCAAAGCCAAAGAAGACUGACCCUGGUGGAUUUAAAAUAUAGCUUCUUAUUUAAAUCGUUAGUCGGUGGGGGUUAGAGCUCCACUGCCAAUCAACCAAUCACGAUGCUGGACACCAAACGACCGCUGGGUUCCUACUGAUGUAUAGCUGUGAUUCUGUGUGUGUCUUGUCACUGUGGAUUUACUUUUGUUUUGAUUUGAUCAUGCAUAGCUAAACGAGGAAUCUGAAACCUACUGAUUUAUGUGUGUGUGUGUGUGUGUGUGUGUGUGUGUGUGUGUGUGUGUGUGUGUGUGUGUGUGUGUGUGUGUGCGCUCUGGUUUUCGAAGUGGUCAAGUAAGUGAGAGGGACACCGUGAAGAGAUAGAAGGAUGUGUUUAGGAAAUUUGUGACGGAUAGUGCAGGAACGUUUCAGGAAGGAGAUCCAGGAUGUAACCACAGUGGAGAGAAAAAGUGGAAAAACAAAAGAGAGUCAAAAAAAA
Molecule: RNA transcript, 2947 nt
Organism: Perca fluviatilis (European perch)
Lineage: Eukaryota; Metazoa; Chordata; Actinopteri; Perciformes; Percidae
Gene name: dystrobrevin beta-like
Exons: 23
Source: RefSeq, a predicted model, not a curated record